This 612-nucleotide ribosomal RNA is filed under the name uncultured bacterium. RNAcentral's name for it is "bacterial SSU rRNA". It matches the Rfam family "Bacterial small subunit ribosomal RNA", at positions 240 to 892 of the family's 1533-position model. The record is from RNAcentral.
AUUAGAUAGUUGGCGGGGUAAUGGCCCACCAAGUCGACGAUGGGUAGCUGGUCUGAGAGGACGAUCAGCCACACUGGAACUGAGACACGGUCCAGACUUCUACGGAAGGCAGCAGUGAGGAAUAUUGCUCAAUGAGCGAAAGCCUGAAGCAGCGACGCCGCGUGAGGGAUGAAAUCCGUUAGGAUGUAAACGGCUAACUACGUGCCAGCAGCCGCGGUAAUACGUAGGGUGCGAGCGUUGUCCGGAAUUACUGGGUGUAAAGGGUCCGUAGGCGGGGAAGUAAGUCGAUGGUGAAAUGCUGCAGCUCAACUGCAGAACUGCCGUUGAUACUGCUUCUCUUGAGUUCGAGAGAGGAUAAUGGAAUUCAUGGUGUAGCGGUGAGAUGCGUAGAUAUCAUGAAGAACACCGAUUGCGAAGGCAGUUAUCUGGCUCGACACUGACGCUCAGGGACGAAAGCGUGGGUAGCAAACAGGAUUAGAUACCCUGGUAGUCCACGCCCUAAACGAUGGAUGUUCGGUGUCGGUCCCGCUCGGGACUUUCAAGGAAGUUUCGAGCGGGACCGGUGCCUGAGCUAACGCGUUAAACAUCCCACCUGGGGAGUACGAUCGCAAG